UUUUUGAUAGUUAUUUUAUUUAUUUAACAUGUGGAAUAUUAGUGAGGAUUUACCGAGGGAUCAGCUAUGGAUCUCGCAAGUAUUUAUCGAUGCACCACUAUCCCUCGCUAAUCAGUCGAAAAAUGAAGGGCCUUAGCUAGGGUUCAACGACGGAUAAAAAAUUGUGCCAUCUGGUACGCGUUUAGCGAGAGAACAUCGACGGAAACUAUAUUGUGGGUACGCGCGUUUUAUUUUUUCACGAAAUGCAUUGAAAUUUCUGGUACGCGUUUCCUUCCCUCCAGCAUACUUUGAAGUUCACGAAAUGUGUUUUGUUUUUUCUAUCACUCUAGACUCUGGACAUGAAUUUUGAACAGAUGACGGCAUAGAAGUUCCCUUCAAUCUGUUAACCCACUUCCAUCUCACAAUCUCUGUUUGAACAGAUGACGAUGACGGCACUACUCACCCGAUUCCGGCAACCUCCACAUUUUUAAGCUGAAAGUAUUCUUCGUUAACUUUCGGAUUCAGGUAAAUCUCAUCCCUAUUAGGUUAGUUUUAGUUCAAUUGCACAAUAUACUUUGUUAGGGUUUAAUUUCUCAUUUUUUCUUUUUCAAUCGAUAUCCCUCUUAUCUCUCAGCAUUAUAUACAUGAAUAACCCUGAAAGUUAGAAUUAGAACUUGAUUUAGGGCUUGAUUCAUCAUAGUUUGUCAUCCAAUUUAUGAGAAUUUAAGGAUUCAAGAACACCAGUAGCCAAAACCUUUAGGUUUUUCCCAAUUCUCUUUCAUAUUUAGGAGGUGGUCUCUCUGAUAAGUCCUAUUCCCUUUUGAGGUCUUGAAGUUGAUGUGGUCUCUCUGAUAAGUCCUAUUCCCUUUUGAGGUCUUGAAGUUGAUGUGGUCUUGAAUCAUGAUGCUGACUUCUACUGCCAGUUGCUGCUUCACUUGGAGCCAUGUUAAGGCCAGUGGUACUUGUCACAGGAGCAACAGCAGCAUAUACAGAUUUUGAAGCCAACACUCUCAUCUUCAUGCAUCUAUCUCUCAUCAAACCAUGUUUCAUCUUAUGCCCUUGCAUCCACACAUUUUCACAGAUCCAAUCUCCAAUUCAGGGCUUCCACCUUCUUUCUGUAAGUAUACAAUUAAAAUUUAAAACCACAUUAUUACAUUAAAAAGAGAAUAAGUUGAUUAAAAAAAACAAAUACAGACCAGAAUUCCAGUAAGGGCGGUGACUUUUUGCAUAACAAGUGAGAGUUUUUUCAGUUGAAAGUCAAAGUGGAUUGUUCUUUGCACUAUGCUUGCUUUAAUGUCAUCGUAUAUUCUUUCAACCCUGUGGGAGAUGAAUAUGUUAAAAAAAUUAUAAUAAUAAUAGUGAAAUGACAUAAUUGACCCUGAUUAAACACAUACCAUUCGUUCCCUUCUUUGUCGAAAAUUGAAGUCAAAAUUAGCUUGAUGGUGUAAAAACAUUCCUCAACUGCAUCUUGCAUAUAAUCAUCUCUUGAAAUUCUAUCCCAUAGUUCGUCUUGUGUGUCACUCUCUCCAGCUAUAUCUUUUGCGAGGAAUAACUAAACAUAAAAAAGAAAAAAAAUAAAUAAAUAUUUAUAAAGAAAAUGUAAAAAUUCAAAAUUGAAGGAUUUUUAGUAACCUUGCUGGCUAGUAGAAAAAGAGGCCAUUGCACCAUGGGAACAGUUCCAGUAUUUUUAGGCAUUUGAAGCAAUUCCAUUUCCCUGAAAAGAAAGACACGUCAAAAGUGAAAACCUGAGGGCAAAAAUGUAAUAUUUUACCUAAACAAGUCAUGUUAAUAGAAGUUAAAAACUCACAGAUUAGUAAUGUAAUCUUCUUCUCUUAGAUUCUUGACAAUCUCAUUCCAGAAAGGUGAAAAUCUAGCAGCAUCAAACUUAUCUUUUACAAGAAUCUGACCAGUUACCUUAAGGGAACUCCUGAAAAAUAUAAUUAAACAUUAAUAUAGGACAGAAAAUGGAAUUCAACAAAUUAUGUUACAGAAAGAGAUGAAGAACACCUGCUUGAAAGAGGAAUGUGAAGAUUAUCCAUGAAUUCUGCAGGGAACCUCUCAAUGUUUUUGUGGACAGAACAUAUAUCUGCCUUAGCCUAAGGUAACAUUACAUUGGAUGAGAAUGAGAUUACCAAAUACCAAAAGCUUACCCUGGGCUCAAGAGAUAUAAUAUAUAUUCAAUCCUAAAGGAUUGGCAUAAAAGUAAUCUUCUUCUUUGGGUUUAUCUGAAAUAACCAAUCUUUUUGUGGGAUUUCCCAUUCUUUCUUGAUAGAGCUUUUUGUUAACAAUUCUUUCUUUGUUCAUUUCCUUUCCAUAUAGAUUUUGAAAUCAAGGUAUUGGUUUCAUUUACGAUAGGAGCACUUAGCUUUAUUUGUUGAUAUGGGCGUGGGGCAGCUGAUACACUUAUAAUCCCUAUAACUAUCCCAUUUUCAUCACGUAAAGGUUUAGUGGAACCGAUGAUAACAAACCUUUCUCCUCUCUUAUUUCUAAUAGGAAACUCCCCUGUCCAACAUUCACCCUUUAACAUUUGUUGUAGGAUAUCAUUAGCUAUAUGGAGAUCCUUUGGUUCUACUACAAGAUCCAUAAAACCUUUUCCACGAAUUUCCUCAGCACUACAAGUCAUGUGUUGGGUUAUUACAAGUCAUGGAAUCACAUAAUUGGUGGAGAUCUCUCUCCUUUUCAAACAACAACAGGACAAUACAUCCUAGACUUUUUUGGGUAUGGCAUUUACAUGUAUCCCUUUCAUCGUAAAUUCGUUCCAGACGGCCCCGAUAUUCAAGGUAGAUGUGAUUUUUGUUAAAUAUAUUUUUAUUGUCAUGUCUUAUGUAUAAUGACCUACCUCACCCAUCACCCACUUUCUUUAAGUAGAUGGACAAUGACCCACUUAUUUUAACAGAUGGAUCAUAACUUCAAUCUUUUAAACAAAUGGAUCAUAUAUAUUAUUGAUUUUAUUGACCCAUAAGAGAAGAUUUUGUUUUUAUAUAAUGUAAAAGAUAAAAGUUGUACUUUUAAUUUAUAAAAUGAAUAGACCCAAACAUUGAUUCAGAAACGGGGACAGUUUUGGUCCCAGGGAUAUUUUGGGAAAACUUUCCUAAUUUAAAGUUUUGAGUUAGUUUAGGAUUCCAAUUAGUUUAGUAUAAAUAUGGUAUGGUUUUGUGAUGUUUUUAAUUAAGUUUUUCUCUGUCUUUUCAGUAAUAAAACUUGGAGAACAAGUAAUUUUCCCAGAUUUCUUUCCUCCCCUGUUUCGCUCAUGCUCUGUUUCUUUUCUGUACACAGUUGAAGUUUCCAUUUUGUCAUAAUCAAGUGAAUCAAGUGAAUUAAUUCCUACACCACUUUCUUUAAAUAGAUGGAUAAUGACCCAUUUAUUUUAAUACAUACAUCAUAACUUAAAUCUUCUAAACAACUGGAUCAUAUAUACUAUUGAUUUUAUUGACCCAUAAGAUAAGAUUUUGUUGUUUCAUAAAACUAUAAAAGAUAAAAGUUGUACUUUUAAUUUAUAAAACGAAUAGACCCAAGCAUUGAUUCGUGUAGUCUACAGCAGGAUGCCCAUCAAAUUAGUUGGGAUCAGGUCCAAUCCUUAUCACCCUUGUUUAGCUGCAAUUAAGAGAGUUUUAUUUUUCUUUUCUGUCUUAAUAGAAUUAUGUUAUGGGUGAAGCACCAUCUUUAGGGCAGGGAGGACAGCCGUUUUGGUAUGGUAUGGUGUGCUGGCAUCCUGAGGAGUAUUUAAGAUUUUCAUUUUGUAGAAGAUUGUUAGCUAAGAAAAUAGUAUAAGCAAAAGCUAUUGGAGAGGCCCUUCCUCUUGAAAGAAUGGGAAAAUCCUAUUAUAUAUAUCAUUCAUUCUCUGUUAGUUGUUUCUGGUUGUGAAUUUCCUGCUUAUUCUCUUUAAUCUAUGUGAGAGCUUAUCAGUACAGUCAAUUGAUCAAGGCUUUUGGCAUUGUUGGAUCACAUAAAUAUACCUGGACCCAAUGCAUAUGAGUACUACUUUGUUCAAGUGGAUUGUUUGUGGAUAAUGAUUAACGUAUCACUUUAUAUCUGUUUUCAGAACCAAAGGAAAAGUAUUGGUUCAGAGCUUUAUCCCCAAGGAAGCCUGACAUAAGUGGUCGUGCACAUAAGGUAUACUUUUUGACACCCAAACCUUUUCUCUCUUCGGGUGAACAAAAGGCAUACACAACCAAAUAGUAGGAAUCAAAGUACUCCAUUGGUUUGGGGGUGUAACAAAAUAAGAGGAAUUAUAACCUUGCAAUGAACACUUGAAAAUGCCAACAUUAAAAUUUUGAAUCAUUUUCUGUUCAUACCAUGUCAAGACACAAUGGGUCAAAAUCUAGGAUCAAAUUCUCACCAAUAUUCCCUGUACUUGAUAUGCAGUUGAGUCCAAUUCUACCUUACUCACUUUCUUUGUUUUUAUUUAUUAAAUCAAGUAUCGCUUUUUUGAGUGUUAAAAUUAACACGAAUUUAAUAGUACUACCAAUAACUAAUCUCUUAUUAUUAAUUAAAUAAGAUCUCAUAGAACUAAUAAUAUUAUUAUACAACUUGAUAUAACAUCUUUAUAACAACAUUAACAAAAAAAAAUUAGGUACAAGAAAUUAAAAUAUAUGAAAAAUUAUUUUUUUUUGAAAAGAUUGUAUAGUAUUACGUUAGAUAACAAAAGAUAUGCAAAUGACACUUUAGGUCCCUGUAGUUUUAAUAUUCCGGAAUUAUAUUUUUAGUCCCUGUAGCUUUAAAUUUUAGGAAUUACACUUUUGGUCACUAUGAAAGUGGGAAAUAAGCAAAAGACACUUUUGGUUCCUAUAGUUUUAGUUUUCCAGAAUUAUAUUCUUGGUCCCUAAAGUUUUUAGUUUGCGGGAAUUACAUUUCUGCUCCUUGUAGUUUAUUUUUACAAAAUUACAUUUUUAGUCCCUGUAGUUUUUAAUUUGCAAAAGUUAAAUUUCUGGUCCCUGAAGUUUUAAAUUUCUGGAAUUACAAUUUUGGUCACUAUGAAAGAGGGAAAUAAGCAAGAAACUUUUGGUCCCUAUAGUUCUAGUUUUCCAGAAUUAUCUUUUUGGUCCCUGAAGCUUUUAGUUUGCAGGAAUUACAAUUCUUGUCCUUGUAGUUUUAAUUUUCCAAAAUUACAUUUUUAGUUGCUACAGUUUUUGGAAUAUGAUUGCAUAGUUAUAAUAAAAAUAAGUAUUUCAUAUUGUAUAAUUGUAGUUUCCAAGGAUGCUUUUAGUAAUGUGGAUAUGAUUACAUUAUCUAAUUUCUAAAUAGUAGUUAUAUAUUUGGUUGUAGCUAGUCAUUAUGUCAACAAGUAGUGAUAGAGACUGGAUGUACAAAAGGUUAGAUCAUGGGUAUCUUAGCACAACAUAUCAUGCAUCCGUCAAAGGAUUUCUGGAUGUUGCUUUUUCUAAUGAAGCAACCGUUGAUGGGGAUUAUAUUAGAUGUCCUUGUUUUAAAUGCAAGAAC
RNAcentral lists this long non-coding RNA (5418 nucleotides) under Lactuca sativa (garden lettuce). RNAcentral describes it as "long non-coding RNA (LSAT_LNC007169)". The record is from RNAcentral. Lineage: Eukaryota; Viridiplantae; Streptophyta; Magnoliopsida; Asterales; Asteraceae.